Molecule: ribosomal RNA, 487 nt
Filed under: uncultured bacterium
Lineage: Bacteria
Description: partial 16S ribosomal RNA
Rfam family: Bacterial small subunit ribosomal RNA
Source: RNAcentral
GAUGAACGCUAGCGAUAGGCCUAACACAUGCAAGUCGAGGGGCAGCACAAGGUAGCUUGCUAUCUGGGUGGCGACCGGCGCACGGGUGCGUAACGCGUAUGCAGCUUGCCCUAUACAGGAGGAUAACCCGUCGAAAGACGGACUAAUACCGCGUAUGCUCACAACUUUGCAUCCAGUGGUGAGGCAAGCAAUUCGGUAUAGGAUAGGCAUGCGUCCUAUUAGCUUGUUGGUGAGGUAACGGCCCACCAAGGCAACGAUGGGUAGGUGAACUGAGAGGUUUAUCCCCAGGACUGGUACUGAGGCACGGACCAGACUGGUAGGGGAGGCAGCGGAAAGGAAGAUUAGGCGAGGGGCGCGAGCCUGAACCAGCCGAGUCGGGUGAAGGAGGCCUGUCUUAGGGAUGGUAAUCUGCUUUGAUACAGGAAUAACAGGAGACACGUGUGACGCCCUGAAGGUACCGAAUGAAUAAGCAUCGGCUAACUCCGUG